UCAUCAACUACUAACCCAUCACCUUUCAGCAGAUAUUGCCGCCCAUCUUGCUGCAACUUUUUCUUCUUUUCUUUUUUUCACAAGUGCUUGUUCUGUAAUAUUUAGAGAUUAUCCCCGUACAUAUGUAGUAUCCACGAUCAUAUACUUGUUCAUAUAAAAAAAUCAUAAACUCGGGAAGACCAAAACUUCACUGGGUAUCAUGAACUUUUUUGUCGUGAAAGUGAAGUAUAAUUGAUAAAGAGCUUAUGGGAAAGAAAAUUUAAUAAAAUCGAAGAAUACUACGACUUACGGAGAUGCAAAUUGGAUUUGCCGCUUCACUUUUCAAAUCCCUCCUCUUCCGUUCCCAUGUGAAUGUCUUUUUUACAUUACUAGUAAUUUUCCACGCGUUACAUGGAUGCCAAUUUUUUUUUUUUUUUAUGUGUGUGAUUGACAAUUAGCAAUGAUUAUUGUUCUCUUGCUCAAGUUGACAAAACUAUAAUUUUAGUCCAACUUUUGUCAUAUUUAAUCAUAUUGUGAUUAAUCAUUCAUUAAUCUCUGUUGUACUUGUCUAUUGGAAUUAUGUCUAUAUUUCAAUUUAUCUUUUCAAAUAUAAGUCUAAUAAAUGGAAAAAGAGCAAGAAGAAAAACUAAAUAAGAAAAACAGCAAAAAACUGAUGAAGAAAAAAAAAAUGCAGGAAUGGGGCGAUAAUACUCUUCGUGACUCGCGGAGAGUUCCACUUCACAUUUUUGUUUUGUUUUGUUUUUUUAUGAAGAUGCAAUCUAAAUUUAUUAAUAUGCAAGAUAAUUUUCCCAAAUUUCCCAAGUUAUAGCAUGUGAUUUGUCAAAGGAAAUGUGCAAAAGAAAGAAUUAACGAUAAUGCACUCCAAAAAGCCUAGAUGCGCAUGAUAAUGCUUAUCCAUGAAAAUUCUAAGUUUUCUAAUAUAAUUUAUGCUAAUAUGUAACGAAAAAUCAUAAAAUAAAGGUCUGAGUUUUGGCUCAAACAAUUAUGCGUGCAGAUGUAUCACCUGAUUAAAACAAAAUUAACAAAUCACCAUGAAUUAUGCAAUCAAGCUGCAACUUUAACCUGGCCAGCAAGUAUAUGGCAUCAACUUUCCCCAAUUUUGGUAUUAAACUUGCUGCAUCAGUUCAAGGGAAAAAGAGAGCAAGUACAAAGAUGUCUUUUACCUAUUCCAAGUAGACUUCCUGGAGCUGAGCAGGCGAACGGGAUAAGAUCUAAAACAGAAAUCCAGCAAGAACGAGCGCUAGGUUUGGCAGUUCACUGUGUACGCGAGCGUAGUCAGCUACGGGAAUGCGUGGUCGCUGCUUGUAACGACGAACGAUGGUAUUGAUUGAGCGACAACUAGAGAUGGUGGUGAUUGGCGACAAUCGAUAUGCAUGCAAGAAAUGAAUUGAAUGAGAGUGAAGUCCGUGGGAUAUGAUAAUGCUUGUCCAUGAAAAUUGUAAUUUUUUUAAUAUAAUUAUCCUGACACGAAUAUGAUGAAAUUCCAUCCUAAUAUGUAAUGAAAAAUCCUAAGUCUGUCCAAAUCAGCAAAUAUGAACACGCUUAAAAAUGUGAAUAUGACUUUCCCUAAAUAUGUAAAUUUAUGAUAUGCAAUUUCCUAAAUGUGCAACAUCUAAUAACUCUACACAUGGUUUUGUUAAACAUCUCCC
This 1649-nucleotide long non-coding RNA is filed under the name Eucalyptus grandis. RNAcentral's name for it is "long non-coding RNA (EGRA_LNC000580)". Lineage: Eukaryota; Viridiplantae; Streptophyta; Magnoliopsida; Myrtales; Myrtaceae. The record is from RNAcentral.